GGCGAACGGGUGAGUAACACGUGAGUAACCUGCCCUUGACUUUGGGAUAACUUCAGGAAACUGGGGCUAAUACCGGAUAGGAGCUCCUGCUGCAUGGUGGGGGUUGGAAAGUUUCGGCGGUUGGGGAUGGACUCGCGGCUUAUCAGCUCGUUGGUGGGGUAGUGGCUUACCAAGGCUUUGACGGGUAGCCGGCCUGAGAGGGUGACCGGCCACAUUGGGACUGAGAUACGGCCCAG
RNAcentral lists this ribosomal RNA (236 nucleotides) under uncultured Actinomycetales bacterium. Its description in RNAcentral is "partial 16S ribosomal RNA". It matches the Rfam family "Bacterial small subunit ribosomal RNA", at positions 97 to 334 of the family's 1533-position model. The record is from RNAcentral. Lineage: Bacteria; Bacillati; Actinomycetota; Actinomycetes; Actinomycetales.